AUUGAACGCUGGCGGCAUGCCUUACACAUGCAAGUCGAACGGCAGCACGGGAGCAAUCCUGGUGGCGAGUGGCGAACGGGUGAGUAAUAUAUCGGAACGUGCCCAGUAGUGGGGGAUAACUGCUCGAAAGAGCAGCUAAUACCGCAUACGACCUGAGGGUGAAAGGGGGGGAUCGCAAGACCUCUCGCUAUUGGAGCGGCCGAUAUCAGAUUAGCUAGUUGGUGAGGUAAAGGCUCACCAAGGCGACGAUCCGUAGCUGGUCUGAGAGGACGACCAGCCACACUGGAACUGAGACACGGUCCAGACUCCUACGGGAGGCAGCAGUGGGGAAUUUUGGACAAUGGGGGCAACCCUGAUCCAGCCAUUCCGCGUGAGUGAAGAAGGCCUCGGUUGUAAAGCUCUUUCGGCAGGAACGAAACGGUGAGCUCUAACAUAGCUUGCUAAUGACGGUACCUGAAGAAGAAGACACCGGCUAACUACGUGCCAGCAGCC
This 492-nucleotide ribosomal RNA is filed under the name uncultured bacterium. RNAcentral's name for it is "bacterial SSU rRNA". It matches the Rfam family "Bacterial small subunit ribosomal RNA", at positions 30 to 516 of the family's 1533-position model. The record is from RNAcentral.